AUUUACCUGCCCUGUUGGUGAUAAGGCGAACAUGUUGAUCCGGCAAAUUAGAUCUUUUGGGAGCCUGUGUAAAGGCCUUUUGUGCAUGCCCUGUUUAAUACUGGGAAGCCUGCGGGUCCUUUCAGGGCACCCACUUAUAACAAAAAUGGGAUCUAAUUUCGCUUUACACGGCAGGGUGGGAAUACU
Molecule: non-coding RNA, 186 nt
Filed under: Nitrospirota bacterium
Lineage: Bacteria; Pseudomonadati; Nitrospirota
Description: Nitrospirae bacterium (hot springs metagenome) 6S RNA
Rfam family: 6S / SsrS RNA
About the family: E. coli 6S RNA was the first non coding RNA to be sequenced, but its function was unknown until recently. It consists of 184 nucleotides that fold into an extended hairpin structure with a large single-stranded internal bulge.
Source: RNAcentral